Molecule: transfer RNA, 72 nt
Rfam family: tRNA
About the family: Transfer RNA (tRNA) molecules are approximately 80 nucleotides in length.
Source: Rfam
GCGUCAGUAGUUCAGUGGUUAGAAUCUAUCGUUCCCAACGAUGGGGCCCGGGUUCGAUUCCCGGCUUUCGCA